UACGUAGGCAGCGAGCGUUGUUCGGAGUUACUGGGCGUAAAGGGUGUGUAGGCGGUUGUUUAAGGUUGGGGGGAAAUCUCCCGGCUCAACUGGGAGGGUGCGCCGAAUACUGAAUGACUUGGAGUGCGGGAGAGGUGAGUGGAAUUCCUGGUGUAGCGGUGAAAUGCGUAGAUAUCAGGAGGAACACCGGUGGUGUAGACGGCUCACUGGACCGUAACUGACGCUGAGACGCGAAAGCGUGGGGAGCAAACAGG
This 254-nucleotide ribosomal RNA is filed under the name uncultured bacterium. Its description in RNAcentral is "partial 16S ribosomal RNA". It matches the Rfam family "Bacterial small subunit ribosomal RNA", at positions 524 to 776 of the family's 1533-position model. The record is from RNAcentral.